RNAcentral lists this ribosomal RNA (273 nucleotides) under uncultured Staphylococcus sp. RNAcentral describes it as "partial 16S ribosomal RNA". It matches the Rfam family "Bacterial small subunit ribosomal RNA", at positions 89 to 355 of the family's 1533-position model. Lineage: Bacteria; Bacillati; Bacillota; Bacilli; Caryophanales; Staphylococcaceae. The record is from RNAcentral.
ACGUUAGCGGCGGACGGGUGAGUAACACGCGGGUAACCUACCUAUAAGACUGGGAUAACUUCGGGAAACCGGAGCUAAUACCGGAUAAUAUUUCGAACCGCAUGGUUCGAUAGUGAAAGAUGGUUUUGCUAUCACUUGUAGAUGGACCUGCGCCGUAUUAGCUAGUUGGUAAGGUAACGGCUUACCAAGGCGACGAUACGUAGCCGACCUGAGAGGGUGAUCGGCCACACUGGAACUGAGACACGGUCCAGACUCCUACGGGAGGCAGCAGUA